GGAUGUGAGGGGAACUGGCUGUCACAUCUGCUGGCCCUCCCUCCAUGAGCAGGGCCUCUGUGGCUGACCUGGCUGGAGAAGCAGCUGUGUCCUCCUCAGGGCUCAGUGUGCAGCUCCAGACCUGGGCUUAGUUAGAAGUGGACCUUCAGGAGAGAGAAAUGGGACUGUGUUUCAUAUCUAGGACACAGCGGCAGCUGUGUUCCCUGCCAGAUCCUCCAGACAAACUCUCUAAAAGUAGUGUGGUGUCACGACUGCUUCAUUGGGUGGGUCGCCUCAGCACGCAGGGGAUGAACUACUUCAUGGCUAACCUCUGCUGU
This 317-nucleotide small RNA is filed under the name Mus pahari (shrew mouse). RNAcentral's name for it is "sRNA (MGP_PahariEiJ_G0008174.1)". The record is from RNAcentral. Lineage: Eukaryota; Metazoa; Chordata; Mammalia; Rodentia; Muridae.